RNAcentral lists this ribosomal RNA (490 nucleotides) under uncultured bacterium. RNAcentral's name for it is "partial 16S ribosomal RNA". It matches the Rfam family "Bacterial small subunit ribosomal RNA", at positions 30 to 507 of the family's 1533-position model. The record is from RNAcentral.
AUUGAACGCUGGCGGCAGGCCUAACACAUGCAAGUCGAACGGUAACGGGAAGAAGCUUGCUUCUUUGCUGACGAGUGGCGGACGGGUGAGUAAUGUCUGGGAAACUGCCUGAUGGAGGGGGAUAACUACUGAAAACGGUAGCUAAUACCGCAUAACGUCGCAAGACCAAAGAGGGGGACCUUGGGGCCUCUGUCCAUCGGAUAUGCCCAGAUGGGAUUAGCUAGUAGGGGGGGUAACGUCUCACCUAGGCGACGAUCCCUAGCGGGUCUGAGAGGAGGACCAGCCACACUGGAACUGAGACACGGUCCAGACUCCUACGGGAGGCAGGAGUGGGGAAUAGUGCACAAUGGGCGCAAGCCUGAUGCAGCCAUGCCGCGUGUAUGAAGAAGGCCUUCGGGUUGUAAAGUACUUUCAGCGGGGAGGAAGGGAGUAAAGUUAAUACCUUUGCUCAUUGACGGUACCCGCAGAAGAAGCACCGGCUAACUCCGUG